RNAcentral lists this ribosomal RNA (1008 nucleotides) under Petasospora americana. RNAcentral describes it as "SSU rRNA". It matches the Rfam family "Eukaryotic small subunit ribosomal RNA", at positions 73 to 1096 of the family's 1831-position model. The record is from RNAcentral. Lineage: Eukaryota; Fungi; Ascomycota; Saccharomycetes; Phaffomycetales; Wickerhamomycetaceae.
UUUAUACAGUGAAACUGCGAAUGGCUCAUUAAAUCAGUUAUAGUUUAUUUGAUAGUACCUUACUUACUCGGAUAUCCGUGGUAAUUCUAGAGCUAAUACGUGCUAAAAACCCCGACUGCUUGGGAGGGGUGUAUUUAUUAGAUAAAAAAUCAAUGCCUUCGGGCUCUUUGAUGAUUCAUAAUAACUUCUCGAAUCGCAUGGCUUCGUGCUGGCGAUGGUUCAUUCAAAUUUCUGCCCUAUCAACUUUCGAUGGUAGGAUAGUGGCCUACCAUGGUGGCAACGGGUAACGGGGAAUAAGGGUUCGAUUCCGGAGAGGGAGCCUGAGAAACGGCUACCACAUCCAAGGAAGGCAGCAGGCGCGCAAAUUACCCAAUCCUAAUUCAGGGAGGUAGUGACAAUAAAUAACGAUACAGGGCCCUUUCGGGUCUUGUAAUUGGAAUGAGUACAAUGUAAAUACCUUAACGAGGAACAAUUGGAGGGCAAGUCUGGUGCCAGCAGCCGCGGUAAUUCCAGCUCCAAUAGCGUAUAUUAAAGUUGUUGCAGUUAAAAAGCUCGUAGUUGAACUUUGGGCUUGGUUGGCCGGUCCGUUUUUAUGACGUGUACUGGUCCCAACCGAGCCUUUCCUUCUGGCUAACCAUCCUUUCGGGGGUGGCGAACCAGGACUUUUACUUUGAAAAAAUUAGAGUGUUCAAAGCAGGCCUUUGCUCGAAUAUAUUAGCAUGGAAUAAUAGAAUAGGACGUUUGGUUCUAUUUUGUUGGUUUCUAGGACCAUCGUAAUGAUUAAUAGGGACGGUCGGGGGCAUCAGUAUUCAAUUGUCAGAGGUGAAAUUCUUGGAUUUAUUGAAGACUAACUACUGCGAAAGCAUUUGCCAAGGACGUUUUCAUUAAUCAAGAACGAAAGUUAGGGGAUCGAAGAUGAUCAGAUACCGUCGUAGUCUUAACCAUAAACUAUGCCGACUAGGGAUCGGGUGUUGUUUUUUUAAUGACUCACUCGGCACCUUACGAGAA